Molecule: long non-coding RNA, 320 nt
Filed under: Phaseolus vulgaris (common bean)
Lineage: Eukaryota; Viridiplantae; Streptophyta; Magnoliopsida; Fabales; Fabaceae
Description: long non-coding RNA (PVUL_LNC004997)
Source: RNAcentral
GGAAUAGUGUCAAUGGCGUGGAAGAGACGGGUCUUCUCUUUGGAGUCUUUUAUGUAGGUUUCAAGGAGGAGGCUGUACAUCUCGGAGUGAAUGUUCUCGAUGGCGAUCUGAAAGCCGUAGAAGGCGCGGGCCUCGGAGACCUGGACCUCCUUCAUGAAACGGCCGGCAAGGUUUUCAAGGACGAUGCCAUCGGAGGCGGCGAAGAAGGCGAGGACGUGGGUGAUGAAAUGGCGCUCGCCAUCGGUUAGAGUCUCCCAAUGCCGGAUGUCCUGCGAGAGGUCGACCUCCUCCGCCGUCCAGAAAGAGGCUUCAGCUUUCUU